CUACUACGUGCAAGGCGCUGGCAGUCCAGGAGGAAUAGGCCUUCGUCCCUGUCCCCGGAAAUGGGCCUGGAACGAGAAGGCUGGAGCUGAAGAUGGAUUGGCUAGAAGGCAACAGCCGACGUACAGGGCAAACGCGUUAGAGGCCAGGUGCUAAGGAGGUUGUUAAAUCUGCCCGCGGGUAUGAAGGAAGGCUUCUAAGGGAGGUCGCCACGGGUGACCUUUCAGCUGUAUCAGAAGGAGCUGAUAUAACCGGAGGAGUACCAGGCGUGAAGAGGAGACGGAGAGCAGAUAAAACUAAGACAGAGGAGAGGCAUGUUCCAACUGCAAGGCUUCUAAUUUGUGGAUGCAGACAAAAGCAACAAGAUCUCCUUACCUGUGACCACUAUCCAUGCCUACUGCCCUGCUCUAGGCUCCCCUCAGAUUCCUAAGACACCUUUCCUCCCCCAUCCAUCAAUGUUUGAUCACCGGGUGGGGGGGGGGGAAUAAAUCACAAGCACAGGUCCAGCAGAGACCACCAAAAUAACCUGUUGAUCAAUCAAAGCCAAGUUUAUUGCUUACAGCAGUAAGAGAGACCACUAUGUUGACAGUCUCAGUAGUGUCUCAAAGAGGAAGGUCAAGGGUAGGAUAGUUAUAAGAUUCAGGGGAUCUGGUUUAAGACAGGUCUCUCAGUAAAAGAGCAUGGUUGAGACUGGGCUAAAUUUGUGAUAUAGUAGUUUAGGAUGAGUGGACACAGGGAGGGGAGAGUUUUGAAGCAAGCCUAAAAGAGUAAGCAGUUGUUCAAUAAACCCAAAAGAGUAAUCUUGUUGAGGGGGGGGCUGUUUACCCUGACGAAGGCUGGGUCAGUCAGUAGUCUGUUGUUCAGAUAAGUGGACUUUGAAGAAGUUCUUGAAGCUGCACUUAAGUUAUUUGCAACUUCUCUGGCAAGAAUUUCUUGGAAUUAAAGUCAUGUUUAUGCAGCCAG
Equus caballus (horse) is the source of this 961-nucleotide non-coding RNA. Lineage: Eukaryota; Metazoa; Chordata; Mammalia; Perissodactyla; Equidae. The record is from RefSeq and is a predicted model, not a curated record.